CCCUUAAGUGGGGGAUAACAUUUGGAAACAGAUGCUAAUACCGCAUAAAUCCAAGAACCGCAUGGUUCUUGGCUGAAAGAUGGCGUAAGCUAUCGCUUUUGGAUGGACCCGCGGCGUAUUAGCUAGUUGGUGAGGUAACGGCUCACCAAGGCAAUGAUACGUAGCCGAACUGAGAGGUUGAUCGGCCACAUUGGGACUGAGACACGGCCCAAACUCCUACGGGAGGCAGCAGUAGGGAAUCUUCCACAAUGGACGCAAGUCUGAUGGAGCAACGCCGCGUGAGUGAAGAAGGCUUUCGGGUCGUAAAACUCUGUUGUUGGAGAAGAAUGGUCGGCAGAGUAACUGUUGUCGGCGUGACGGUAUCCAACCAGAAAGCCACGGCUAACUACGUGCCAGCAGCCGCGGUAAUACGUAGGUGGCAAGCGUUAUCCGGAUUUAUUGGGCGUAAAGCGAGCGCAGGCGGUUUUUUAAGUCUGAUGUGAAAGCCCUCGGCUUAACCGAGGAAGUGCAUCGGAAACUGGGAAACUUGAGUGCAGAAGAGGACAGUGGAACUCCAUGUGUAGCGGUGAAAUGCGUAGAUAUAUGGAAGAACACCAGUGGCGAAGGCGGCUGUCUGGUCUGUAACUGACGCUGAGGCUCGAAAGCAUGGGUAGCGAACAGGAUUAGAUACCCUGGUAGUCCAUGCCGUAAACGAUGAAUGCUAGGUGUUGGAGGGUUUCCGCCCUUCAGUGCCGCAGCUAACGCAUUAAGCAUUCCGCCUGGGGAGUACGACCGCAAGGUUGAAACUCAAAGGAAUUGACGGGGGCCCG
Molecule: ribosomal RNA, 809 nt
Filed under: Lacticaseibacillus rhamnosus
Lineage: Bacteria; Bacillati; Bacillota; Bacilli; Lactobacillales; Lactobacillaceae
Description: bacterial SSU rRNA
Rfam family: Bacterial small subunit ribosomal RNA
Source: RNAcentral